RNAcentral lists this ribosomal RNA (497 nucleotides) under uncultured bacterium. RNAcentral's name for it is "partial 16S ribosomal RNA". It matches the Rfam family "Bacterial small subunit ribosomal RNA", at positions 28 to 523 of the family's 1533-position model. The record is from RNAcentral.
GACGAACGCUGCGGCGUGCCUAACACAUGCAAGUCGAGCGGAGUCAGUAAGAGGAAGUUUUCGGAUGGAAUCUUAUUGAUUUAGCGACGGACGGGUGAGUAACGCGUGAGCGACCAACCUUGCACAGGGGGAUAACGGACCGAAAGGUUCACUAAUACCGCAUGAGACCACGGUGUUGCAUGACACAGGUGUCAAAGGAGCAAUCCGGUGCAAGACGGGCUCGCGUCCGAUUAGGUAGUUGGAGGGGUAACGGCCCACCAAGCCUAUGAUCGGUAGCCGACCUGGGAGGGUGAUCGGCCACAUUGAAACUGAGAUACGGUCCAAACUCCUACGGGAGGCAGCAGUGGGGAAUAUUGGGCAAUGGGGGAAACCCUGACCCAGCAACGCCGCGUGAAGGAAGAAGGUUUUCGGAUUGUAAACUUCUGUCCUUGGUGAAGAGAAGAAGACGGUAGCCAAGGAGGAAGCCCCGGCUAACUACGUGCCAGCAGCCGCCGUAA